UUCGUAAAGCUUAUAUAAUGUCUUCAACUAAUUGUGUGCCGUCCAGGCAUUGGGAUAGUGCUUCUUCUUUUUCUCAACUGAUCACUUCAUCCUCCUUGUUUUGUUGGCUACCCCCUCUCUUUGGCACACUUAAAAUGAAUUUUGAUGCAUUCGGUUGUCUCCCAUCAAGCGGCAGCUGCUUAUGUUAUCAAGAACUAUCAAGGGACAUUUUGCAAUCUAGAGGUAAAAAAUUAUUACCUUCUUAUAUUCCUUUUGUAGAGUUAACCGUUGCCUGGUUGGAGGUUAAGGCUACUGUUCAGAAAUUUCAAGCCACUCAUAUUUGGAUUGAAGGGAAGCUAAUAAGUUAGCUAAUUAUAUGGCUUGAAAAGCUAUUUUUGGAGAUUUUAAGUGGGAAAGAGGGGAUGCUUUGCAUCCAUCUGCGUGUUAAUCCUUAAUGCUGAUUGUUAUCAGGUUGGUUUUCAGAAACAACUUUAAUUUUCACAUGUGUUCUCAAUAUAUAAUGGUGUUAAGCUUGUGCUGCAUGGUGUGCCAAUUGCACCUAGUUUAUGUGCCAGUUAACAUGCCACCAUACAGGAUGUCUGUAAUCGUACUAAUGCAUGGUCUCUAUUUGAUGUUUCAAGUUAUAUGCGCAGCAUGUUGUGCCACACCCUAUGCCAUCUACUGUGCCAAUGCCAUGUCUUCUGUUGUUGGUCUAUGUAUCAGUGUUCUGCUAAUUCAUUAUAUCUUCUAACUUAUGCUGUGGUUUAUAUUUGCUGCUAUGUUAUUUACUGGUAUAAUUGUUUAAGGGUGUUUAACAAUACCAGGCUCUCUCCUCUGCAUAUUAUUCUAUGGGUCUUUUUUGUAUGCAGCUUUUGUAUGUAUCCUACUUGUGGUAGUAUACACAAUAUCUUAUUAUGGUGUGGUAUAGAACUUGGUUGCUUCUUGCCUGUUCUGCCACUUCUCUAAGGCUAACUGUACGUAUUCUCCUCUAUGGUCCAAAGGUAUAUGUUCAAUGUCUUAAUAGCUAUUGAUGAUCACUUCUACUCCAUGGAUUAGUUUUUUAUACAACUACUAUGGGAUCAGCUUAUCACUGCUUUAUCCUCGGCAGCUUUAUCGUCCAAUCAGCUGCAGAUUCAAGGCCUUAUUUCCUACUGUGUGGGACAGUCAGACUCUCUUAUCAUACUAAUUAUUUUUCUCAGGAACAGCAAGGCAUCUGCUUAUUAACUAUCUUCUAUUAUGGUCAUGCUUCCUUUAGUCCUACAUCCAUGAGUCCAAGCCACAUGCAAUUUGAUCCCUUAUCAAGCCUAUAUUCAGAACUCUUCAUCUCUCAGGUUAUACUUGCUAUUCGGUGCUCACAACUCAGUCUGCACUAUCAAAUAGUACAAGCCAUCUUGUUCAAGCUUAUUCUGGAUGGUUGGAUCUCAGUUGCUUAUUUACUGCUCCAUGUCAAAUUGGAAAUUUUCUAUUAUCUUAGCCAACUUUCUUUAUCAGCCCUUAUUGCUUCAGGUUGUUUUGGGGCUCUGUCACUUCCAUAGAUUCAUGAAUAUGCCCACUUCAUGGUUUUGCCAUUCACAUAUAAGUAUGCUCAGUUGCAAGUCUACGGCACUAUCUUUUAUGUAUCACUAUAUGUAUUUUUUUUGACUUUAGUUGUGUACAUCAACUUCUCUUUAACUGUAUACUUUUCCUUUGUGGCUCUAUCU
Molecule: long non-coding RNA, 1679 nt
Organism: Elaeis guineensis (African oil palm)
Lineage: Eukaryota; Viridiplantae; Streptophyta; Magnoliopsida; Arecales; Arecaceae
Source: RefSeq, a predicted model, not a curated record